Molecule: ribosomal RNA, 564 nt
Filed under: uncultured bacterium
Lineage: Bacteria
Description: bacterial SSU rRNA
Rfam family: Bacterial small subunit ribosomal RNA
Source: RNAcentral
CUCCUACGGGAGGCAGCAGCAGGGAAUCUUGCGCAAUGGGCGAAAGCCUGACGCAGCGACACCGCGUGGGGGAUGAAGGCCUUCGGGUUGUAAACCCCUUUCAGGAGGGAAGAAAUUGACGGUACCUCCACAAGAAGGACCGGCCAACUACGUGCCAGCAGCCGCGGUAAUACGUAGGGUCCGAGCGUUAUCCGGAAUCAUUGGGCGUAAAGAGCUCGUAGGCGGUUCAGCAAGUCGGCUGUGAAAGUUCGAGGCUCAACCUCGAAAUUGCAGUCGAUACUGCUGUGACUCGAGUCCGGUAGAGGAGAACGGAAUUCCCGGUGUAGCGGUGAAAUGCGCAGAUAUCGGGAGGAACACCAGUAGCGAAGGCGGUUCUCUGGGCCGGAACUGACGCUGAGGAGCGAAAGCGUGGGGAGCAAACAGGAUUAGAUACCCUGGUAGUCCACGCCGUAAACGAUGAUAACUAGCUGUCCGGGCACUUGGUGCUUGGGUGGCGCAGCUAACGCAUUAAGUUAUCCGCCUGGGGAGUACGGUCGCAAGAUUAAAACUCAAAGGAAUUGACGG